AGAACGAACGCUGGCGGCAGGCCUAACACAUGCAAGUCGAACGCUCGUAGCAAUACGAGAGUGGCAGACGGGUGAGUAACGCGUGGGAACCUUCCCAGUGGUACGGAAUAGCUCAGGGAAACUUGAGGUAAUACCGUAUACGCCCCUCGGGGGAAAGAUUUAUCGCCAUUGGAUGGGCCCGCGUAGGAUUAGCUAGUUGGUGAGGUAACGGCUCACCAAGGCGACGAUCCUUAGCUGGUCUGAGAGGAUGAUCAGCCACACUGGGACUGAGACACGGCCCAGACUCCUACGGGAGGCAGCAGUGGGGAAUAUGGACAAUGGGCGCAAGCCUGAUCCAGCCAUGCCGCGUGAGUGACGAAGGCCUUAGGGUUGUAAAGCUCUUUUGGCGGGGAAGAUAAUGACGGUACCGCAGAAUAAGCUCCGGCUAACUUCGUGCCAGCAGCCGC
Molecule: ribosomal RNA, 446 nt
Filed under: uncultured bacterium
Lineage: Bacteria
Description: SSU rRNA
Rfam family: Bacterial small subunit ribosomal RNA
Source: RNAcentral